GAUGAACGCUGGCGGCGUGCCUAAUACAUGCAAGUCGAGCGAACAGACGAGGAGCUUGCUCCUCUGACGUUAGCGGCGGACGGGUGAGUAACACGUGGAUAACCUACCUAUAAGACUGGGAUAACUUCGGGAAACCGGAGCUAAUACCGGAUAAUAUAUUGAACCGCAUGGUUCAAUAGUGAAAGACGGUUUUGCUGUCACUUAUAGAUGGAUCCGCGCCGCAUUAGCUAGUUGGUAAGGUAACGGCUUACCAAGGCAACGAUGCGUAGCCGACCUGAGAGGGUGAUCGGCCACACUGGAACGGAGACACGGUCCAGACUCCUACGGGAGGCAGCAGUAGGGAAUAUUCCGCAAUGGGCGAAAGCAUGACGGAGCAACGCCGCGUGAGUGAUGAAGGUCUUCGGAUCGUAAAACUCUGUUAUUAGGGAAGAACAAAUGUGUAAGUAAAUAUGCACGUCUUGACGGUACCUAAUCAGAAAGCCACGGCUAACUACGUG
Molecule: ribosomal RNA, 497 nt
Filed under: uncultured bacterium
Lineage: Bacteria
Description: partial 16S ribosomal RNA
Rfam family: Bacterial small subunit ribosomal RNA
Source: RNAcentral